This 325-nucleotide ribosomal RNA is filed under the name uncultured eukaryote. Its description in RNAcentral is "partial 18S ribosomal RNA". It matches the Rfam family "Eukaryotic small subunit ribosomal RNA", at positions 1470 to 1796 of the family's 1831-position model. The record is from RNAcentral.
CCCUUAGAUGCCCUGGGCCGCACGCGCGCUACACUGAUGCAUUCAACGAGUUUUACCUUGGCCGAGAGGCCUGGGCAAUCUUUUAAACCUGCAUCGUGAUAGGGAUAGAUUAUUGCAAUUAUUAAUCUUGAACGAGGAAUUCCUAGUAAACGCAAAUCAUCAAUUUGCAUUGAUUACGUCCCUGCCCUUUGUGCGCACCGCCCGUCGCACCUACCGAUUGAAUGGUCCGGUGAAGCCUCGGGAUUGUGGCCAGUUCACUUUAUUGGGAGUUGGCUGUGAGAACUUGUCUAAACCUUAUCAUUUAGAGGAAGGUGAAGUCGUAACA